This 460-nucleotide ribosomal RNA is filed under the name uncultured Microbacteriaceae bacterium. Its description in RNAcentral is "bacterial SSU rRNA". It matches the Rfam family "Bacterial small subunit ribosomal RNA", at positions 28 to 497 of the family's 1533-position model. Lineage: Bacteria; Bacillati; Actinomycetota; Actinomycetes; Micrococcales; Microbacteriaceae. The record is from RNAcentral.
GACGAACGCUGGCGGCGUGCUUAACCACAUGCAAGUCGAACGAUGAACGCGGGAGCUUGCUCCUGCCGGAUUAGUGGCGAACGGGUGAGUAACACGUGAGCAAUCUGCCCUUGACUCUGGGAUAACGCCGAGAAAUUGGUGCUAAUACCGGAUAUGACCCCUGGCGGCAUCGCUGGGGGUGGAAAGUUUUUCGGUCAAGGAUGAGCUCGCGGCCUAUCAGCUAGUUGGUGAGGUAAUGGCUCACCAAGGCGACGACGGGUAGCCGGCCUGAGAGGGUGACCGGCCACACUGGGACUGAGACACGGCCCAGACUCCUACGGGAGGCAGCAGUGGGGAAUAUUGCACAAUGGGCGAAAGCCUGAUGCAGCAACGCCGCGUGGGGGAUGACGGCCUUCGGGUUGUAAACCUCUUUUAGCAGGGAAGAAGCGAAAGUGACGGUACCUGCAGAAAAAGCGCCGGC